AGAGUUUGAUCCUGGCUCAGGAUGAACGCUGGCGGCGUGCCUAAUACAUGCAAGUCGAACGAGUUCUCGUUGAUGAUCGGUGCUUGCACCGAGAUUCAACAUGGAACGAGUGGCGGACGGGUGAGUAACACGUGGGUAACCUGCCCUUAAGUGGGGGAUAACAUUUGGAAACAGAUGCUAAUACCGCAUAGAUCCAAGAACCGCAUGGUUCUUGGCUGAAAGAUGGCGUAAGCUAUCGCUUUUGGAUGGACCCGCGGCGUAUUAGCUAGUUGGUGAGGUAAUGGCUCACCAAGGCGAUGAUACGUAGCCGAACUGAGAGGUUGAUCGGCCACAUUGGGACUGAGACACGGCCCAAACUCCUACGGGAGGCAGCAGUAGGGAAUCUUCCACAAUGGACGCAAGUCUGAUGGAGCAACGCCGCGUGAGUGAAGAAGGCUUUCGGGUCGUAAAACUCUGUUGUUGGAGAAGAAUGGUCGGCAGAGUAACUGUUGUCGGCGUGACGGUAUCCAACCAGAAAGCCACGGCUAACUACGUGCCAGCAGCCGCGGUAAUACGUAGUGGCAGCGUUAUCCGGAUUUAUUGGGCGUAAAGCGAGCGCAGGCGGUUUUUUAAGUCUGAUGUGAAAGCCCUCGGCUUAACCGAGGAAGCGCAUCGGAAACUGGGAAACUUGAGUGCAGAAGAGGACAGUGGAACUCCAUGUGUAGCGGUGAAAUGCGUAGAUAUAUGGAAGAACACCAGUGGCGAAGGCGGCUGUCUGGACUGUAACUGACGCUGAGGCUCGAAAGCAUGGGUAGCGAACAGGAUUAGAUACCCUGGUAGUCCAUGCCGUAAACGAUGAAUGCUAGGUGUUGGAGGGUUUCCGCCCUUCAGUGCCGCAGCUAACGCAUUAAGCAUUCCGCCUGGGGAGUACGACCGCAAGGUUGAAACUCAAAGGAAUUGACGGGGGCCCGCACAAGCGGUGGAGCAUGUGGUUUAAUUCGAAGCAACGCGAAGAACCUUACCAGGUCUUGACAUCUUUUGAUCACCUGAGAGAUCAGGUUUCCCCUUCGGGGGCAAAAUGACAGGUGGUGCAUGGUUGUCGUCAGCUCGUGUCGUGAGAUGUUGGGUUAAGUCCCGCAACGAGCGCAACCCUUAUGACUAGUUGCCAGCAUUUAGUUGGGCACUCUAGUAAGACUGCCGGUGACAAACCGGAGGAAGGUGGGGAUGACGUCAAAUCAUCAUGCCCCUUAUGACCUGGGCUACACACGUGCUACAAUGGAUGGUACAACGAGUUGCGUGACCGCGAGGUCAAGCUAAUCUCUUAAAGCCAUUCUCAGUUCGGACUGUAGGCUGCAACUCGCCUACACGAAGUCGGAAUCGCUAGUAAUCGCGGAUCAGCACGCCGCGGUGAAUACGUUCCCGGGCCUUGUACACACCGCCCGUCACACCAUGAGAGUUUGUAACACCCGAAGCCGGUGGCGUAACCCUUUUAGGGAGCGAGCCGUCUAAGGUGGGACAAAUGAUUAGGGUGAAGUCGUAACAAGGUAGCCGUAGGAGAACCUGCGGCUGGAUCACCUCCUU
This 1560-nucleotide ribosomal RNA is filed under the name Lactobacillus sp. rennanqilfy2. Its description in RNAcentral is "bacterial SSU rRNA". It matches the Rfam family "Bacterial small subunit ribosomal RNA". Lineage: Bacteria; Bacillati; Bacillota; Bacilli; Lactobacillales; Lactobacillaceae. The record is from RNAcentral.